GGGACCCUUCUCUCAUGGACUACACAAACAUGUGUUUUACCUGCUCGUGCUCCAGAUGUCCUGAAGCAGCUCUCAAUGACCACCAGACACCAGACUGAAGCAGAACUGAUGCUGUAGUACCUGUCACUCACCGGGCUCGUUCCUGCUGAACCUCCAAGAGAUAAACCCCUCUUCAAGAAAGUCUGAGGUAAUGUCUUCGUGAACUUGUGCUCAUUUAUUUUUUCUUAGUUAUCUUAGCUGCUGUAUUAAUGCUUGUGACGCUAUUGUACAGCUCUGCUGAUAUCGUCUUUAACAGCAGUGUUUUCUCCCAGGUCUUCUUCAAGCCAGUUAAGAGAGGAAGAACAGCUUAGACACUCAGGCAGCUGAACGCACCAAAGAUGGACAUCAUGCAGCCACCCUGAGCCUUGAGCCUCUCUGUGCUCUUUGCUGCUGCAGACCUGGUGAAGUUGCUCUGGACAGAAAUAUUUUUUGCUCUGCUGCAGUGCUGAAGGUAUUCAUUGUAAUGAUGUGUGUAUUUAUUCAACGUGUUUAGUUUCACAGAUUGUCAACACAAAUGUUUCUGUUUAUUUCCUGUUUUGAACCAGCUACAUUCUCCUGCUUCAAGUCACUGUCUGUUCAUCCACGGUGUAGCCAGUGCAGCUCAGCAGAGUCCUAAUAAUGGUGAUCCUUCAAGUCCUGCGAAGCAAGCUGCAGCAGAUGUCAUCACAUUCAGAUCAUCAUUUUUAUCUUUACUGCAGCUUUAAAGUUUCCCUGAGGUAACGGUGUAUUUCCUUGCCCCAUAACAAAAACCAUGUUUGACCAACAUAGAAAAGCACAGAAUUACUGUUAGCACAGGAUUACAGAGUUAAAGUGAAGGGGAUUUUGUUUGUUUUUUUCAGACCUCUCCUCCUCCUCCUGCCUCUGACUCCAGUGAUGCUGUCAACUCGAACACUGAUAACUGCACACGGCGAUUCUACAACCACAGGUCAAAGGUCAAAACAUUACCUCAC
Non-coding RNA from Xyrichtys novacula (pearly razorfish), 989 nucleotides. NCBI's taxonomy places the organism in Eukaryota, Metazoa, Chordata, Actinopteri, Labriformes, Labridae. The record is from the annotation of a GenBank genome assembly.